This 403-nucleotide ribosomal RNA is filed under the name Hemidactylus turcicus (Mediterranean house gecko). Its description in RNAcentral is "partial 12S ribosomal RNA". It matches the Rfam family "Bacterial small subunit ribosomal RNA", at positions 786 to 1388 of the family's 1533-position model. The record is from RNAcentral. Lineage: Eukaryota; Metazoa; Chordata; Lepidosauria; Squamata; Gekkonidae.
CCCACUAUGCUUAGAAGUAAACCAAGGCAGCAACCCAGCCCCCUGCCCGCCAGAGAACUACAAGCGAAAAGCUUAAAACUCAAAGGACUUGACGGCAUUCCACAUCACACUAGAGGAGCCUGUCCUAUAAUCGAUAACCCACGUUUAACCUCACCUGUUCUCGCACAAGCCAGCCUAUAUACCGCCGUCUCCAGCCCGCCUUACAAAAGCACCCCAGCGAGCAAAACAGCAAAGCACUAACACGUCAGGUCAAGGUGUAGCUAAUGAACAGGCAGAGAUGGGCUACAUUUUCUUAAACAAAAGAAAACCAACUACCCGCACCAUGAAAUAAGUGCACAAAGGAGGAUUUAGCAGUAAGCUGCGCAAGCAUGCGCAACUGAACUCCGCCCUGGAAUGUGUACAC